RNAcentral lists this ribosomal RNA (429 nucleotides) under Bacteroidota bacterium. RNAcentral describes it as "Bacteroidetes bacterium partial 16S ribosomal RNA". It matches the Rfam family "Bacterial small subunit ribosomal RNA", at positions 355 to 776 of the family's 1533-position model. Lineage: Bacteria; Pseudomonadati; Bacteroidota. The record is from RNAcentral.
UAGGGAAUCUUCCGCAAUGGACGCAAGUCUGAUGGAGCAACGCCGCGUGAGUGAAGAAGGUUUUCGGAGCGUAAAGCUCUGUUGUUAAGGAAGAACGAGUGUGAGAAUGGAAAGUUCAUGCUGUGACGGUACUUAACCAGAAAGGGACGGCUAACUACGUGCCAGCAGCCGCUGUAAUAAGUAGGUCCCGAGCGUUGUCCGGAUUUAUUGGGCGUAAAGCGAGCGCAGGCGGUUAGAAAAGUCUGAAGUGAAAGGCGGUGGCUCAACCAUUGUAGGCUUUGGAAACUGUUUAACUUGAGUGUAGAAGGGGAUAGUGGUAUUCCUUGUGUAGCGGUGAGAUGCGUAGAUAUAUGGAGGAACACUGGUGGCGAAAGCGGCUCUCUUGACUGUUACUGACGCUGAGGCUCGAAAGCGUGGGGAGCUAACAGG